RNAcentral lists this long non-coding RNA (223 nucleotides) under Lathyrus oleraceus (garden pea). Its description in RNAcentral is "Pisum sativum (pea) long non-coding RNA (PSAT_LNC024556)". The record is from RNAcentral. Lineage: Eukaryota; Viridiplantae; Streptophyta; Magnoliopsida; Fabales; Fabaceae.
UUUCAAAAAGCUUUCCAUAUCAAAAUCAUUAUGCAGGUUGUUUCUUAAACCCAUUGAACAUAGUGAUCGGACGUCAUCUCCCAAUUUUGAAUUCCCUGUAUUCGAAGCGGACGAAGAUGAUGUUGAAGGGAUUCCUGACGAGAUUUCCCGACUUCUUGAGCAAGAAAAGAAGAUCACUCAGCUGCAUCUCGAGAAUCAGCAGAACAGCCAACUGGGGCAUNNN